UUGUAAAGAACUUUGAAGAGGACUUGAAAA
This 30-nucleotide small RNA is filed under the name Arabidopsis thaliana (thale cress). RNAcentral describes it as "ATSL095320". Lineage: Eukaryota; Viridiplantae; Streptophyta; Magnoliopsida; Brassicales; Brassicaceae. The record is from RNAcentral.